This 514-nucleotide ribosomal RNA is filed under the name uncultured bacterium. RNAcentral's name for it is "bacterial SSU rRNA". It matches the Rfam family "Bacterial small subunit ribosomal RNA", at positions 15 to 518 of the family's 1533-position model. The record is from RNAcentral.
GAUCUUGGUUCAGGAUGAACGCUAGCUACAGGCUUAACACAUGCAAGUCGAGGGGCAGCAUGUGGUUGCUUGCAACCAAUGAUGGCGACCGGCGCACGGGUGAGUAACGCGUAUCCAACCUUCCCCUUAGUAGAGGAUAGCCCGGCGAAAGUCGGAUUAAUACUCUAUGUUCUUCAAUGCGGGCAUCUAAGUUGAAGCAAAGAUUUAUCGCUAAGGGAUGGGGAUGCGUCUGAUUAGGUUGCAGGCGGGGUAACGGCCCACCUGGCCUACGAUCAGUAGGGGUUCUGAGAGGAAGGUCCCCCACACUGGUACUGAGACACGGACCAGACUCCUACGGGAGGCAGCAGUGAGGAAUAUUGGUCAAUGGGCGCGAGCCUGAACCAGCCAAGUAGCGUGCAAGGACGACUGCCCUAUGGGUUGUAAACUGCUUUUAUCAGGGAAUAAAGUGAGGCACGCGUGCCUUUUUGUAUGUACCUGAUGAAUAAGGACCGGCUAAUUCCGUGCCAGCCGCGGC